UGAGGCUGCGAGAGAUGGUCAUGUCC
RNAcentral lists this non-coding RNA (26 nucleotides) under Homo sapiens (human). Lineage: Eukaryota; Metazoa; Chordata; Mammalia; Primates; Hominidae. The record is from RNAcentral.